Molecule: ribosomal RNA, 253 nt
Filed under: uncultured bacterium
Lineage: Bacteria
Description: partial 16S ribosomal RNA
Rfam family: Bacterial small subunit ribosomal RNA
Source: RNAcentral
UACGUAGGGUGCAAGCGUUAAUCGGAAUUACUGGGCGUAAGGCGUGCGCAGGCGGUUAUGUAAGACAGGUGUGAAAUCCCCGGGCUUAACCUGGGAACUGCAUUUGUGACUGCAUAGCUAGAGUACGGCAGAGGGGGAUGGAAUUCCGCGUGUAGCAGUGAAAUGCGUAGAUAUCGAGAGGAACACCUGCGGCGAAGGCGGGUUGCUGGGCUGAUACUGACGCUGAGGCGCGAAAGCCAGGGGAGCGAACGGG